Molecule: ribosomal RNA, 344 nt
Filed under: Erwinia persicina
Lineage: Bacteria; Pseudomonadati; Pseudomonadota; Gammaproteobacteria; Enterobacterales; Erwiniaceae
Description: bacterial SSU rRNA
Rfam family: Bacterial small subunit ribosomal RNA
Source: RNAcentral
UGAGACACGGUCCAGACUCCUACGGGAGGCAGCAGUGGGGAAUAUUGCACAAUGGGCGCAAGCCUGAUGCAGCCAUGCCGCGUGUAUGAAGAAGGCCUUCGGGUUGUAAAGUACUUUCAGCGGGGAGGAAGGGAUGAAGCUUAAUACGCUUCGUCAUUGACGUUACCCGCAGAAGAAGCACCGGCUAACUCCGUGCCAGCAGCCGCGGUAAUACGGAGGGUGCAAGCGUUAAUCGGAAUUACUGGGCGUAAAGCGCACGCAGGCGGUCUGUCAAGUCGGAUGUGAAAUCCCCGGGCUUAACCUGGGAACUGCUUACGGCUAGAGUCUUGUAGAGGGGGGUAGAA